AUACGUAGGGGGCUAGCGUUAUCCGGAAUUACUGGGCGUAAAGGGAGCGUAGGCGGAUUUUUAAGUGAGAUGUGAAAUACUCGGGCUUAACCUGAGUGCUGCAUUUCAAACUGGAAGUCUAGAGUGCAGGAGAGGAGAAGGGAAUUCCUAGUGUAGCGGUGAAAUGCGUAGAUAUUAGGAGGAACACCAGUAGCGAAGGCGGCUUUCUGGACUGUAACUGACACUGAGGCACGAAAGCGUGGGGAGC
This 247-nucleotide ribosomal RNA is filed under the name uncultured bacterium. Its description in RNAcentral is "partial 16S ribosomal RNA". It matches the Rfam family "Bacterial small subunit ribosomal RNA", at positions 523 to 769 of the family's 1533-position model. The record is from RNAcentral.